Molecule: long non-coding RNA, 428 nt
Organism: Medicago truncatula (barrel medic)
Lineage: Eukaryota; Viridiplantae; Streptophyta; Magnoliopsida; Fabales; Fabaceae
Exons: 3
Source: RefSeq, a predicted model, not a curated record
UGCUACUACUGAACUGUUGCGGCUUUGAGCUUUUGCUGCGGUUCUGCUACUCCUAAUUGCUACUGCUGUUUUGCGCUGCAUCUGUUGUACCACUGAUUUGCGCUUCUGCUGCUGUUCCUAUUCGCUGCUACAGUCUGCUUCCUCAUCUCCUUCCAUUGCGUUACAGACUCAUUGUGUUACAGUCCCGUCCAAACUAUUUUCUUUGUUGGUUUUAAAGCAAUAUCACUACUCGUUGUAGUGCAUACUUUGGAGACCAAUAUUAGUCUUGGAAAUGUGUCUUUCUCAUUCACUCACACCAAAGCUAUAGAGCCUUUCUUUUCCAUCAUUCUUUCUCCCAUAUUUAUUGGAGAGUGACGUGUUGUAAUGUGGCAUUAACCAAUCAUUCAAGCACUUAAAGAUGACAAAAUAUGUGAGUUUUGUUGUAUUUU